Homo sapiens (human) is the source of this 607-nucleotide long non-coding RNA. RefSeq lists it as uncharacterized. NCBI's taxonomy places the organism in Eukaryota, Metazoa, Chordata, Mammalia, Primates, Hominidae. The transcript has 3 exons. The record is from RefSeq and is a predicted model, not a curated record.
GGCUGAUGACUCACUUACCAGCUCCCACUUUGUACAGGGCCCUUCCUUUGGAGUAACCCAGCAUGCGGCAGAAGACAAUGGCAUCAGAAUUUUGCCACUCGUCAUCGCAAAUUGUCCCCCAGGUACCACUGUAGUAAACUUCAGCCCGGCCUCGGUUACUACUGCCGACAAUCCUGACGGACACUGAGUUUUCACCUGGGUGAAGAAACACACAUGGGAGAGGCAAGGAAGGCCCCUUGGGGCUUUGGGGGCAGGGCUCUUGAGAGGCCUAGAAACACCGUCCAGCUGGUGCCAGCUCAGUACCCAACUGAAGCACAGGCUCUGGAGAUGGAAAGAUACAUUGGUUCUCCACGAUUGUUUAAAGCCUCUUCAGCAGAUCAUGAAAAGAGACAGUCUGCAGAUGAAUGAGAACAGGUGUGUUGGGGGUGAAACGGCAAAGUACUGGAUGAAAGCCUGGAUUAGACAGACCCCAGAUGCACCACUGGCCUUCCCUGCCCCCCGGUAACCUGACCUGGCAUCUAAAUCCAAUCCCAUUCCCUGCUGUUGCAUUUAUAUUGGAAGAGAAUUGGGAGAUAUUUGGUAAAUAAAGUUAUCUUUAUUGCUAAAA